This 1483-nucleotide long non-coding RNA is filed under the name Medicago truncatula (barrel medic). RNAcentral describes it as "lncRNA gene4738". Lineage: Eukaryota; Viridiplantae; Streptophyta; Magnoliopsida; Fabales; Fabaceae. The record is from RNAcentral.
GCUUUAACAAUAAUACAUUGUCUUCUUGUAUAAAUAUACUUGAAAACAAUUACAUGUCACACAAAUUCUGAACACAUCUCACCACAUUAGUAGUUGAACUAUAUAUAUCCCAUAACAAGAAAUUACUUACUCCAGUCUCAAGUCUCCGAUGGAGAGGAGCUAGAUAAUAGUGGAUUUAAAGUAGAGACUUGCCUGCCUUACCCAACAUGAUUACUUAUUAUCAAUUAUCAUCCAUUUGCAUAUAACCAAACCUCUUGAUUAUUCCAAACAAGGGUUGAAAUUGAAUUAACCUUCCAAAGACUAGGAGUGACCUACUUGCCUACCCCACUGAAGGUCUGCAGAAAACUCAGCAAGAGCAGCUCGAGGAUCGCCAUUUGAAACAGACCAGUAGUAUUGAGCAGUUUCACUAUCAACUUGCAUGCUUCUCUUCAAGGAAUCAAGCACCUUUUUGUUGCUUUCUUCUGAGGAUAUUCUGUUUGAUACAUAGCUACUCUUUAUGUCAGAAGAAAGAAUGUUAUGGACACAAGGAGAAGUCCUCAACAACAAAAAAAUCUCACAAGAAUACAACAAUUAUGGACAUUGGAAACCAUAGCGACAAAAUACAAUCAAAGUCUAUAUGUCCUUAAAUUCUUCUAUUAGCAGGGAAUUGAAUUGUUGAUACUGGGUGCUGUUUCAGUCCACUUACAAUCCCAUCACUUUUCUGGGCAGUUUUCUUACUCCUUAAUGGUGAAACUAAUCUGGUAGCUAGUCUCGAAGGAGAGAAAGAUCGACGGAAUUUAGCAGCAGUCGAUCUCUUUGGCGAAUUCUUACUCAAACUUGCAAGUCUUGUGGGUGAAAUAGACACAAUUGUUGUGCUUUUGAUCUUAACUUUAGAGUUUGAAGGUGGAAAUUUGAUCAAAAACUUGUGUGGUGUUGUUGGUCCUCUAUUUCUUGAAAUAAAAGAAGACCUUGUUUUGCAAAACUGUUGCUGCUAUGACCGUGAUGAAGAACAAUGAGUUGACUUGAACAAAGGGUUGGGGAAAAGUAUAGUUUUUUUAGCCCAUGUCCUAUUCCUUGGAGAUACCCUAUUCGCCUAAGACAAAUACUUGUUAUUUUCUGUAUUAAAUUCUCUAACUUUUGGAGGAGAAACUUUGAAAGUGAUUCUGGAACGAGCUCUUUGAAGUGAAGGAGAACCAUCAUUUUGUAGUUUGGUUUAUUUCUCCUUCUUCCUUCUAGACUUAAGUUGUGUGUUUUCAAGGUUUAUUUUCUUGCUUGGCCUUUGAGACAUUGGAGUUUUUGGGUCCUCUUUGGAGGGAGUUUUGUCACCAACAGUUGAAACAAUUUCUCUUGCAAAUUGACUAGCCUGUAAAAUUUCUCCAAGAGUUUCUCCUACAAGCAUUGCAGGCAACGACAUUCGCCUCCAUUCACCUGUAUAAACAUAAGGGUUCCCAAGUGAAUAGGAAAGUCUUGUCAUUAACUAAUUAAAGAGUUGCCAAAUAACACA